This 2656-nucleotide long non-coding RNA is filed under the name Canis lupus familiaris (dog). Its description in RNAcentral is "lncRNA (ENSCAFG00845006685.1)". The record is from RNAcentral. Lineage: Eukaryota; Metazoa; Chordata; Mammalia; Carnivora; Canidae.
UCCAGAAUCUGUGAGUGUAAUAAAUGGUUAUUCUGUGCCACUGAGUAACUUUAUAUGCAGCAUAACUGGAACAGAUGUUUCUAUACACACAAGUUUGAGACCCUGACAUUUGAGGACUAUAUGUAGAGGUUUAUUUUGUUUAUGCUGAUGUUAGACUAGGGAAGACAAGGGGGGCUAACAUUAGGUCUAAUUUUCAUAGCCAGCAUACGACUGUUUGUUUUCUCUUGUGUUAAGAACGUUCUACUCUAACUCCCCUAAACCUGAACAUUUAUCCCCCCAGUGACCUGACACUCACUCUGAUCUUCACUUGGCAAAUUCCUACUCUCCUUAAAGAUCUUAUGUCUCCUAUGAAACGUCACAUUCUACCAGAAGAUGCAUCUAACUGCUAGGGAAUGGGUUUGGGUGCCUUCUGUGAGAUAAUAGUGAUUUUAUCAUAUAUAUAUAUAUAUCCCAGUUGUUUAAUUAUGUGUUUACCCAUUAGCCUGUAAGCUCCUUGAGGGCAUAUAUGCUCUUACUACUGCAUACCAAGCAUGAAAUAGUGCAGCGUGAUCAAUAAAUAGCAGUUCACUGGAAGAAUUAAUGCUCUUUUCUACCUCAACUCUGCUGUCAAAGAAAGUGGACUGAAAGAGAAGACCUUGGAAAAUUGGAAGAAGUAGAUAUUGAGAAAUUGCAGUAAGUCAGAUAGAAAUAAACAAAGAUACACUGAAGUUAACAACUUUGCCAAUGAGUCUUUCUAAUUCAGGGCACUCCAAAAAUACCAAAGGCAUCAUAUCUGAUGAAUAUCAGAGGUAAAACAGUCUCCAUUCUGAUUCCAGAAAAUUUUGCCAAUCCGACACAGUUCUCCCUCCGUUCCUGUCUCCGCUGACACUCUCUCUCACUUCCUCAUGUUACCCUAGUCUAUAGACUCUUGAUAACCUCCAGAAAUCCAAAAUCUCCUAAUUUAUCCAGAUUUGUCAUUAUAAAUGCUCUAUACUUAUGAUCACACACCUGGUAGGAUUCAAGACAAUAUGGAUUUCAUUUUUUUUUCUCUCCAUUAAGCUAAACCUCAAUCUACAUGAAAUAAUAUUAUAAAAACUCACAUAAACACAUUUAUAAAUCAACAAAAUAAGAUGGAUUCCAUUUUUUGGGAAAGAAAAUAAGUGUAUUUAACUAAAGAUUCCAAAAUUACUCUUUCCAGUUCUUGGAAGUUUUUACUUCCAUUCCUUAAUACUGAUAUAAACUAAGUAUUGAUUUCAUUAUAACAAUUAACUCUAGAGUGCAAAUCACUUUAUCCCUCCCUGGGGUUAUCAACAGGAGAUGAGGGACUUGUUUACCUAAAUGAAACACCUACAAUAGAUGUGAAUAAUUACUUUUGAGUUAAGAAGUCUGUCAGUAUUCUUUUUUUUUUAUUUUUUUAAAAUUUAUUUAUGAUAGGCACAGAGAGAGAGAGAGAGAGGCAGAGGCACAGGCAGAGGGAGAAGCAGGCUCCAUGCACUGGGAGCCCGACAUGGGAUUCGAUCCCGGGUCUCCAGGAUCGCGGCCUGGGCCAAAGGAGGGGGUUAACCGCUGCGCCACCCAGGGAUCCCGGUCUGUCAGUAUUCUUGUCUACUCUUGAUAUUCUAUACAAAAAGUUUCCCAGGAAGUACAAACCCAUGCUUUUUUCCAUGUUCCUAUAUUUCCCUCUCUUCCUUAUGUAUUAAGUAACUUCCUCUUCAAAAACUCCUUUCAUAAAUUGUUCUCUGGCAAUUGGUUCAAAGGUUUUCCUUCCUAUCCAAAUAUUGCAAUCAAUCAGAAAAGCUUCAGUGUGCUACAUGAAUGACCCCAUACUUAUCUUCCAUUUCUUGUCUUUUCUUAGUGAUUCAAUCACUUCCAUAGACAUGCCUAUAUGUCAUACUGCUAUACUCUCAAGAUAAUACAUUCAGACAUUUUACUCUGACCAUGACCUCCCUAUCCAGCAUUCUCUUCUAAUUACAAUCCAAUAUAUAGAUUCUCAAGGCAAGUAAUCUCCAAAGUGGGAUGUGCAGUAUGAAAUAAGCUUAUAUGAAGUAUAUUAGCAUAGAGAUAAAUAUACAUAUAUACAUUGGUGGUAUGUGUUUUAAAAAACUGGUUACUUUCAGAGACUUUAUCUACUUUUUGUCCUUUCUCUUCAUUCCCUUUCCUACUCUUUUAUCACACUGUUCAUCACUUCAACCACUUGCCUGUCAAUAUUUUCUAUUCUCCUGCCCUCUGUCUUUCCAUUGUACCUGGGUUCUGAGUGCUUUGAGAGAAUAAUGACAAAAUAUAAAACUCUACAGAUAGUGGCCACCAUAGAUCCUUGGUUAGCAUCCUUUGGGCCCCAGUGAUGUCAGGUUAUCUUAUUAGCUUUCCUUUCUUAGCUCUCUAUUCCUCCAUAGUGAUUAUCUCAAAUAUUAAUCACUUCUCUAAAAACUCUAUCCGUAUCAUGUCUUCCCUCACUCCUAGCAGAUGAUAUAGAGUGCCGGUUAACAGAAAAAAAUAAUUGUCUUCAGAUGAGAUGAGAAUUCAACUCCCUCAAUUUUCUACCACCAAUGCUAAAAACAUAGAUUUCCAAUUCCCCCUUUCUCUUAGAAUAUAAAGGUAUUUCUCUUCCUGUGCUAUGCUUUUCUAGUCUCACUCCCCUCCGUUUAUCUUUUUUUUAAAAAAUUGUUAUUUAUUCAUG